RNAcentral lists this ribosomal RNA (260 nucleotides) under uncultured bacterium. RNAcentral describes it as "partial 16S ribosomal RNA". It matches the Rfam family "Bacterial small subunit ribosomal RNA", at positions 29 to 289 of the family's 1533-position model. The record is from RNAcentral.
GUGAACGCUGGCGGCAGGCCUAACACAUGCAAGUCGAGCGGCAACGCGGGGGGCAACCCUGGCGGCGAGCGGCGGACGGGUGAGGAAUUCGUCGGAAUCUGCCUUUUUGUGGGGGAUAACGUAGGGAAACUUACGCUAAUACCGCAUACGACCUACGGGUGAAAGUGGGGGGACCUUCGGGCCUCACGCAGAAAGAUGAGCCGACGACCGAUUAGCUAGUUGGUAGGGUAAAGGCCUACCAAGGCGACGAUCGGUAGCUG